GGAUGUGAGGGCAAACUGGCUGCGACAUCUGUCACCCCACUGGUAGCCAGGGUUGAUUCAGCUGAUCAGGCUGGCUGGGCAGAUGUAUCCAUCCUCUCUCAAUACUCCUGUGUGUCCCUCCGAAGCUGCAUGUUCGGUUGAAGAGGAUGUGACCAUCCCCAAUAGGGGAGGACCAGACACACAACUCUGAAGAGGGAAGGUUUACAUGGCUCACAGGCUCUAGAGGUUUCAGUCCAUAAUCGGCUGGCUCCAAGG
Molecule: small RNA, 255 nt
Filed under: Chinchilla lanigera (long-tailed chinchilla)
Lineage: Eukaryota; Metazoa; Chordata; Mammalia; Rodentia; Chinchillidae
Description: 7SK RNA (ENSCLAG00000021755.1)
Rfam family: 7SK RNA (bases 1-182)
About the family: 7SK was discovered as an abundant small nuclear RNA in the mid-70s but a possible function has only recently been suggested.
Source: RNAcentral